CCUACGGAGGCUGCAGUGGGGAAUAUUGGACAAUGGGGGCAACCCUGAUCCAGCCAUGCCGCGUGUGUGAAGAAGGCCCUCGGGUUGUAAAGCACUUUCAGUGAGGAAGAACGCCUGGUGGUUAAUACCCAUCAGGAAAGACAUCACUCACAGAAGAAGCACCGGCUAACUCCGUGCCAGCAGCCGCGGUAAUACGGAGGGUGCGAGCGUUAAUCGGAAUUACUGGGCGUAAAGCGCGCGUAGGUGGCUUGAUAAGCCGGUUGUGAAAGCCCCGGGCUCAACCUGGGAACGGCAUCCGGAACUGUCAAGCUAGAGUGCAGGAGAGGAAGGUAGAAUUCCCGGUGUAGCGGUGAAAUGCGUAGAGAUCGGGAGGAAUACCAGUGGCGAAGGCGGCCUUCUGGACUGACACUGACACUGAGGUGCGAAAGCGUGGGUAGCAAACAGGAUUAGAUACCCUUGUAGUC
This 464-nucleotide ribosomal RNA is filed under the name Vreelandella stevensii. RNAcentral describes it as "partial 16S ribosomal RNA". It matches the Rfam family "Bacterial small subunit ribosomal RNA", at positions 338 to 795 of the family's 1533-position model. Lineage: Bacteria; Pseudomonadati; Pseudomonadota; Gammaproteobacteria; Oceanospirillales; Halomonadaceae. The record is from RNAcentral.